Molecule: transfer RNA, 76 nt
Filed under: Oopsacas minuta
Lineage: Eukaryota; Metazoa; Porifera; Hexactinellida; Lyssacinosida; Leucopsacidae
Description: tRNA-Cys
Source: RNAcentral
GACAAUAAAGCAUAAUUCUCUAAUGCCUCAAUUUGCAAAAUUGAAAAUUGUAAAAUAAACACCAUUACUAUUGCCU